AACGAACGCUGGCGGCGCGUCUUAAGCAUGCAAGUCGAACGGUAAGGGAGAGCUUGCUCUCCCCUAGAGUGGCGGACUGGUGAGUAACGCGUGGGUGACCUGCCCUGAAGAUGGGGAUAGCUAGUAGAAAUAUUAGAUAAUACCGAAUGUGCUCAUUUACAUAAAGGUAAAUGAGGAAAGGAGCUACGGCUCCGCUUCAGGAUGGGCCCGCGUCCCAUUAGCUGGUUGGUGAGGUAAAGGCCCACCAAGGCAACGAUGGGUAUCCGGCCUGAGAGGGUGAACGGACACAUUGGGACUGAGAUACGGCCCAAACUCCUACGGGAGGCAGCAGCUAAGAAUCUUCCGCAAUGGACGAAAGUCUGACGGAGCGACGCCGUGUGAAUGAAGAAGGCCGAAAGGUUGUAAAAUUCUUUUGCAGAUGAAGAAUAAGAAGAAGAGGGAAUGCUUCUUUGAUGACGGUAGUCAUGCGAAUAAGC
This 476-nucleotide ribosomal RNA is filed under the name Treponema denticola. RNAcentral's name for it is "bacterial SSU rRNA". It matches the Rfam family "Bacterial small subunit ribosomal RNA", at positions 29 to 491 of the family's 1533-position model. The record is from RNAcentral. Lineage: Bacteria; Pseudomonadati; Spirochaetota; Spirochaetia; Treponematales; Treponemataceae.